CCCGGUUUGCGGGGUCUCCCGGGAAGCCAGCCCCACAUUUUCUAAGGAGCUGUAGCUUCUAUUCCUCUGCAGCGUCAGCCUCCCCUCGGCCAUUGCCAAAGGCACUUAGACAGCCCAGCCCGGGGCAUUCACAGAAGAGCCGAGUCAUCCCUUAUGAGGCCACAUGCACUCAGUGGUCCCCGGAGCCUCUGUCCGGAGGUCAGGGGGCGCCUGGAAAUUCUGGGAGCAUACUGCAGAGUCAGGGGGUGAAGCCCUGCUCUGCGGCCGGCCGAGGCCUGUGGGGAGGCAGAGAGCCAGUGGCUGCGUCAGGAAUACUCAUUCUCGGCUCUGGAGAAACAGACGUCGUGGCUGAGGUUGGCCAAUGCUGUCAGAGUGCUGGUGAUACACAUUCCCCUCUGCUUGACAGUGAGCUUCCUGCUUGGCACAUCAUAAUUGGGUCUUGA
This 443-nucleotide long non-coding RNA is filed under the name Equus caballus (horse). RNAcentral's name for it is "lncRNA (ENSECAG00000041004.2)". The record is from RNAcentral. Lineage: Eukaryota; Metazoa; Chordata; Mammalia; Perissodactyla; Equidae.